Molecule: ribosomal RNA, 507 nt
Filed under: Ascorhynchus japonicus
Lineage: Eukaryota; Metazoa; Arthropoda; Pycnogonida; Pantopoda; Ammotheidae
Description: partial 16S ribosomal RNA
Rfam family: Bacterial large subunit ribosomal RNA
Source: RNAcentral
GCCUUUUGUUUUUUAUAAUAGGUCUUACCUGCCCAAUGAUAUUAGUUUUAAUGGCCGCAGUAAUUUGACUGUGCAAAGGUAGCAUAAUAAUUUGUCUUUUAAUUGAGGACUGGAAUGAAUGGUUUGACGUGAAAAAUUCUGUCUCAAAGAUUUUUUUUGAAAUUUACUUUUAAGUUAAAAGGCUUAAAUUUGUUUGAGGGACGAAAAGACCCCAUCAAGUUUUAUAAUAAAUUAUUUUAAAAAUUUUCUUUUUUAUUUUGAUUUAUUAUUUGACUGGGGCGGUUAAAAUAGAUUAUCUUUUUUUGAUUUUAAAGGUUAAAUUGACUUUUAGGUUUGUUUUUGAUCCAGAGUUUUUGAUUAGAUGAUUAAAUUACUGUGGGGAUAACAGCGUUAUUUCUUUUUAGAGUUCAAAUUGAUAAAGAAGAUUGCGACCUCGAUGUUGGAUUAAGUUUUCCUUUUGGUGAAGAAGUUAAUAAGGUAGGUCUGUUCGACCUUUAAAAAUUUACA